This 253-nucleotide ribosomal RNA is filed under the name uncultured bacterium. Its description in RNAcentral is "partial 16S ribosomal RNA". It matches the Rfam family "Bacterial small subunit ribosomal RNA", at positions 524 to 776 of the family's 1533-position model. The record is from RNAcentral.
UACAGAGGUCUCAAGCGUUGUUCGGAAUCAUUGGGCGUAAAGCGCGCGUAGGCGGCUCGAUCAGUCUGCUGUAAAAGUCAAAGGCUCAACCUUUGAAUGCCGGUGGAUACUGUCGGGCUAGAGUCCGGAAGAGGCGAGUGGUAUUCCUGGUGUAGCGGUGGAAUGCGCAGAUAUCAGGAGGAACACCAACGGCGAAGGCAGCUCGCUGGGACGGUACUGACGCUAAGGCGCGAAAGCGUGGGGAGCAAACAGG